AUUGAACGCUGGCGUCAGGCCUAACACAUGCAAGUCGAGCGGAUGAAGGGAGCUUGCUCCUGGAUUCAGCGGCGGACGGGUGAGUAAUGCCUAGGAAUCUGCCUGGUAGUGGGGGAUAACGUCCGGAAACGGGCGCUAAUACCGCAUACGUCCUGAGGGAGAAAGUGGGGGAUCUUCGGACCUCACGCUAUCAGAUGAGCCUAGGUCGGAUUAGCUAGUUGGUGGGGUAAAGGCCUACCAAGGCGACGAUCCGUAACUGGUCUGAGAGGAUGAUCAGUCACACUGGAACUGAGACACGGUCCAGACUCCUACGGGAGGCAGCAGUGGGGAAUAUUGGACAAUGGGCGAAAGCCUGAUCCAGCCAUGCCGCGUGUGUGAAGAAGGUCUUCGGAUUGUAAAGCACUUUAAGUUGGGAGGAAGGGCAGUAAGUUAAUACCUUGCUGUUUUGACGUUACCAAAAGAAUAAGCACCGGCUAACUUCGUG
RNAcentral lists this ribosomal RNA (484 nucleotides) under uncultured bacterium. RNAcentral describes it as "partial 16S ribosomal RNA". It matches the Rfam family "Bacterial small subunit ribosomal RNA", at positions 30 to 507 of the family's 1533-position model. The record is from RNAcentral.